This 34-nucleotide ribosomal RNA is filed under the name Macropsychanthus coriaceus. Its description in RNAcentral is "Dioclea coriacea partial 18S ribosomal RNA". The record is from RNAcentral. Lineage: Eukaryota; Viridiplantae; Streptophyta; Magnoliopsida; Fabales; Fabaceae.
CCUGGUUGAUCCUGCCAGUAGUCAUAUGCUUGUC